This 76-nucleotide transfer RNA is filed under the name Sulfuricaulis limicola. RNAcentral describes it as "tRNA-Phe". It matches the Rfam family "tRNA". Rfam says of the family: Transfer RNA (tRNA) molecules are approximately 80 nucleotides in length. Their secondary structure includes four short double-helical elements and three loops (D, anti-codon, and T loops). Further hydrogen bonds mediate the characteristic L-shaped molecular structure. tRNAs have two regions of fundamental functional importance: the anti-codon, which is responsible for specific mRNA codon recognition, and the 3' end, to which the tRNAs corresponding amino acid is attached (by aminoacyl-tRNA synthetases). tRNAs cope with the degeneracy of the genetic code in two manners: having more than one tRNA (with a specific anti-codon) for a particular amino acid; and 'wobble' base-pairing, i.e. permitting non-standard base-pairing at the 3rd anti-codon position. Lineage: Bacteria; Pseudomonadati; Pseudomonadota; Gammaproteobacteria; Acidiferrobacterales; Acidiferrobacteraceae. The record is from RNAcentral. RNAcentral also lists the same sequence under 16 other names.
GGCCGGGUAGCUCAGUUGGUAGAGCAGCGGACUGAAAAUCCGCGUGUCGUUGGUUCGAUUCCGACCCCGGCCACCA